UGCUUGUGUAUUUAAAUGGGUGUGGUGCUAAGUAUAUCUUGUUUACCUUAUCUGUGGAAAAGUUUUGAAGUCUGGUUAGGUUUGUCAUAUCACGCCUGUUGCCUAGCACUACGAAAAUUGUUCUUAUCUAAGCAGAAAAGAUUGGAUAGGUGGAGGUCGUGGCUUGGC
Molecule: long non-coding RNA, 168 nt
Filed under: Saimiri boliviensis boliviensis (Bolivian squirrel monkey)
Lineage: Eukaryota; Metazoa; Chordata; Mammalia; Primates; Cebidae
Description: SMAD5 antisense RNA 1 conserved region 4 (ENSSBOG00000001246.1)
Rfam family: SMAD5 antisense RNA 1 conserved region 4
Source: RNAcentral